RNAcentral lists this small nuclear RNA (167 nucleotides) under Medicago truncatula (barrel medic). RNAcentral describes it as "U1 spliceosomal RNA". It matches the Rfam family "U1 spliceosomal RNA". From Rfam's summary of the family: U1 is a small nuclear RNA (snRNA) component of the spliceosome (involved in pre-mRNA splicing). Its 5' end forms complementary base pairs with the 5' splice junction, thus defining the 5' donor site of an intron. The record is from Rfam by way of RNAcentral. Lineage: Eukaryota; Viridiplantae; Streptophyta; Magnoliopsida; Fabales; Fabaceae.
UUACAUACCUGGACGGAGUCUUUGGGUGAUCAAGGAAGCCCAUGACUUAGACUGAUGACUUCCAUUGCACUAAAAAGGAAGGGAAUUGGUCUAAGGUCUACCCAACGUUGGUAGUACCUACGUCGUAAUUUGUGGUAGUGAGGGUGCUGCGUCCGCGCGGAUCCCUC